AUUCCUGCUUCCUGCUGGGGGAGGCUAAGGGAGGGGCGCAAAGGUGCUGGUGGGCAGAGGGAAGGUGUCAAGGGGGUGGUGUGCCCCCUGCCAUCUGCAAUCGUGUACUUAAAGGGAGGAGGACUGGCGCAUUCCAACAAUUUGGGCUCUCACUGCUUGAGCAAACCCUGGUGUGCAUUUGGCCUCAGGGCCUGGAAGACGACAGUUCAAGAAACCACAGGACUCCAGCAAUGAGCUGCUCCCCUUGCUGUGUGUGUGUGUGUGUGUGUGUGUGUGUGUGUGUGUAGGGUGAGGGAUGGCAAGUAGGAAAGGAAUUCCAGGAAGAAUAAAGUGCAUGUGCAAAGGCCCUGGGGCAGGAGGAGCCUUGGCUGCUGGAGGAAGCAUAAGAAAGCUGAGGUGUCGGCUGGGCACAGUGGCUCAUGCCUGUAAUCCCAGCAGUUUGGGGGGCUGAGACGGGUAGAUCAGGAGUUCGUGACCAGCCUGGCCAACAUGGCAAAACCCCGUCUCUACUAAAAAUACAAAAAUUAACCAGGCGUGGUGGUACAUGCCUGUAGUCCCAGCUACCCGGGAGGCUGAGGCAGGAGAAUCACUUAAAUCCAGGAGGUGGAGGUUGCAGUAAGCUGAGAUUGUGCCACUGCACUCCAGUCUGGGUGACAGAGUGAGACUACGUCUUGAAAAAAAAAAAAGAGAGAAAAAAAAGAAAGCUGAGGUGUCUGGACCUGAGCCGGGAAAGGUGAGGACAGGAUAGGCCCUGCAGGGCCCUGGACCGUGUUAAGCAGUUUGGUUUUUAGCCUAAGAGCAAUGGCAUUUAUG
This 813-nucleotide long non-coding RNA is filed under the name Homo sapiens (human). RNAcentral describes it as "HSALNT0318112". Lineage: Eukaryota; Metazoa; Chordata; Mammalia; Primates; Hominidae. The record is from RNAcentral.